Molecule: RNA transcript, 1874 nt
Organism: Tarenaya hassleriana
Lineage: Eukaryota; Viridiplantae; Streptophyta; Magnoliopsida; Brassicales; Cleomaceae
Gene name: fibrous sheath CABYR-binding protein
Exons: 7
Source: RefSeq, a predicted model, not a curated record
UUUGCUUGGGGUUUUGCCUUCCCCACUGUUUCCCAGUUCCAGUCCCAAAGAUGAACCGGCUCGUCCGUACACAUUCUGUCGCCAUGAGGUCUCUCCGAUACUUCCACCGCCGGCCGCCACUUUAGCUUCGGCCGUUAUCCCUUCAACAGGUUUUUCCCGUUUGCGAUUUUUUUGUGCUCUGAGAAAUCUGAAUGAAUUUGUUUUCUUCGAUUUCUGAAUUCUAUGGAGGCUUGGAGAAUGAUGUGUCGUUACCAGAUAACGCCGCCGGUGAUCCGGAUUGUGCCGGAGAGGAAGACGUAUGUGAUCGAGCGGUUUGGGAAGUACGUGUAGACGCUGCCGUCUGGGAUUCAUUUCCUCAUUCCACUUGUGGAUCGUAUUGCAUAUAUCCAUUCCCUCAAGGAAGAAGCCAUUCCGAUUCUGAACCAUUCUGCAAUCCCAAAAGAUAAUGUCAGCAUCCACAUUUAAGAUAGUGAUCCUAAAUUGGCUUCAUAUGGGGUCGAAAAUCGUAUAUAUGCGGUUGCACAGUUAGCUCAGACUACAAUGCGCAGUAAGAUCACACCUUGACAAGGCUUUUGAAGAAAGGGACACUCUCAAUGAGAAGAUAGUGGAAGCAAUCAGUGUUGCUGCAAAAGAUUGGUUGCUUCAGUUAUGAGAUUAGCGAGGGGAUAUUAUGGCUCCAACAUUGAGUGAGAGCCGCCAUGGAAAUGCAAGCUAAAUCUGAACGUAUAAAGAGAGCCCAAAUCCUUGAAUCUGAAAGGCAGCUAGCUUGAGAGUUGCAGGGCAAAACACUAAUAAUGCGUUGGGCAGCAUUGCCAUGGUGGGGACAACAAUGUUGGUUCCGAGUACUGCUGCCAACCCCACUAAGGAGUAACCAUGGUUGCUGAACAUGAGGCACAAUCUUUUCUUUGCCUCGGGCUUCUAGAACUUCACCAUUUUCGAAAUAGAAAACGAAUCUGAAUUUUGUGUCUUUGAUCUUUGUUAUUUUGUUUUCAAUGGAUGGACUGGUAGCUUCUCUCUCAGGUCUUAACAAUAGAAAAAGAAACAAGAUCCUCAAAAGAACUGGGAAAUGGAAGAGGAAUGGUGGAGAAUACAAGGGACCAAUGUAAAGAAAGAGAAAGGAAAACGAGAAGACCAGGUUGGCUUUCGUCCCAACGGUUGAAUAGCUCCAACAGAGAAAACUACGGUGUCCGAAUCUGACCAUGUUUGGGACAUUACCAUAAAUAGCAUGUCUCCUCCUCUGUUAUAUAAACCCCCUCUUUUCCAUCUUCUCAAUUUGCUCAGCCUUGAAUUUUCAUCUUUUGACUGAUUUUUCUUUUGUGAAGGAGUUUUCCACAGGCCCCUUCGCUCCACAGCUCCGUCCCAUUGUUCGUUCGUUUUUUAGUAAUAACCGUUUGGAACGAGAACCAUGGGAGGCUGUGCGAGCAAACCUAAGGAGUCUGAUAUCAUCGAGGAGUCUGCCCCUGUUGACCCUCCUCCGACUGACGCUGUCGAGGCCAAGAACGUCGAGACAGUGACCGCUGCCGAGGAGAAAGCAGAGGAAGCUGUUGCUGAGAAGAAGGAAGUGGCAGAUGAAGAGAAGGAAGCAGAGGAGGAGGAGGCCAAGCCAGCAGCAGUCGCUGAGGAUCCCAAGGAAGCUCCCGCCGAGACUGAGCCACCACCCAAAGAAGAGGCCGCCACUGCCUAAUUGUUCUCUCCCAUUUCAGCUCUUUUGAGUUGUAUUCCCAUUUUCAUACAUUUCAUUCCAGAGGGACUUGAACAUGCGUAAGAUUCAUGGUAAUCAUCAUCUACAUUUACACGAGGGGCUUACGAUUUUUUGUUUAAUGAUAAACGUUGUGAUUUUUUUUUUAAUGGACAAUUUAGAACAUUCUGUGAUU